RNAcentral lists this ribosomal RNA (331 nucleotides) under uncultured bacterium. RNAcentral's name for it is "bacterial SSU rRNA". It matches the Rfam family "Bacterial small subunit ribosomal RNA", at positions 8 to 334 of the family's 1533-position model. The record is from RNAcentral.
AGGGUUUGAUUCUGGCUCAGGACGAACGCUGGCGGCGUGCCUAACACAUGCAAGUCGAACGGAGUUAAGAGAGCUUGCUCUUUUAACUUAGUGGCGGACGGGUGAGUAACGCGUGAGUAACCUGCCUUUCAGAGGGGAAUAACAUUCUGAAAAGAAUGCUAAUACCGCAUGAGAUCGUAGUAUCGCAUGGUACAGCGACCAAAGGAGCAAUCCGCUGAAAGAUGGACUCGCGUCCGAUUAGCUAGUUGGUGAGAUAAAGGCCCACCAAGGCGACGAUCGGUAGCCGGACUGAGAGGUUGAACGGCCACAUUGGGACUGAGACACGGCCCAG